Molecule: ribosomal RNA, 443 nt
Filed under: uncultured bacterium
Lineage: Bacteria
Description: partial 16S ribosomal RNA
Rfam family: Bacterial small subunit ribosomal RNA
Source: RNAcentral
CCUACGGGAGGCAGCAGUGGGGAAUAUUGGGCAAUGGACGAAAGCCUGACCCAGCAAUGCCGCGUGAAUGAAGAAGGCCUUCGGGUUGUAAACUUCUUUUUUCAGGGAAGAAGUCAAUGACGGUACCUGAGGAAUAAGCCCCGGCUAACUACGUGCCAGCAGCCGCGGUAAUACGUAGGAAGCAAGCGUUAUUCGGAUUGACUGGGUGUAAAGGGUGUGUAGGCGGUAUAGCAAGUCAGAGGUGAAAACCCGGGGCUCAACCUGUGGUGUGCCUUUAAAACUGUUUGUCUUGAGUGCCGGAGAGGUAGACGGAAUGCCUGGUGUAGCGGUGGAAUGCGUAGAUAUGAGGAGGAACACCAGAGGCGAAGGCGGCUAACUGGACAGCAACUGACGCUGAGGCACGAAAGUGUGGGGAGCAAACAGGAUUAGAUACCCCGGUAGUC